Molecule: ribosomal RNA, 254 nt
Filed under: uncultured bacterium
Lineage: Bacteria
Description: partial 16S ribosomal RNA
Rfam family: Bacterial small subunit ribosomal RNA
Source: RNAcentral
UACGUAGGGUGCGAGCGUUUGUCCGGAAUUAUUGGGCGUAAAGAGCUCGUAGGCGGUUUGUCGCGUCUGCUGUGAAAACCUAGGGCUUAACCCUGGGCCUGCAGUGGGUACGGGCAGACUAGAGUGCGGUAGGGGAGACUGGAAUUCCUGGUGUAGCGGUGAAAUGCGCAGAUAUCAGGAGGAACACCGGUGGCGAAGGCGGGUCUCUGGGCCGUAACUGACGCUGAGGAGCGAAAGCAUGGGGAGCGAACAGG